RNAcentral lists this long non-coding RNA (407 nucleotides) under Homo sapiens (human). Its description in RNAcentral is "uncharacterized LOC105370997, transcript variant 2 (LOC105370997)". The record is from RNAcentral. Lineage: Eukaryota; Metazoa; Chordata; Mammalia; Primates; Hominidae.
GAAACGAUUCAUACUGCAAGCCGCCUAAAUGCAGGGCUUUUGAUGAUAUUCCCCGCCAACAAGGCAUGAAGGUGGGGCUUGCCUCCAUCUGGCUCUCCUGCCACUUUCAACAACACACCCCACAUCCGAUCCUGCUUAGAGUCGAAGAUGAAUCUGGCAUAAUACAAACAGCACUGGACUGGAAGCAUGAAGUUUCUCUUAUCUGUGCCUUGGUUUCCUCAUGUGGAAAAUGAAAAUGUUGACAUAAAUAAUCACACAGGCAACAGCAAUCAUAAUGGGCUUGGAGCACCAGUCCCACAACAUCACAGGACAUCCAGACAUAAUUGCAUUAAUAAUGUUGUGCAUAAUCGCACAACUCUCUGGUUAUUCAGCAUCGUCCAAUAUGUGAAUAAAGCUCUGAGGAAAAA